AAUAAACGUGACAAAGUUCACUUUCUUUGAAGUGUAAUAGCGCCAGUGUGAGUAAGAAAUCAAAAUGUUUUUGAACUUAGUUAAAAAAGCCUUGUUAGUAAGUGAAAGAAAGGGUCUUUCCUUUUCUGUUUCUCGGCUGUUUAAAAGUAGGGCAUUUAUCCGGAGACAAUCUUCUCUGGCCGCCGUGGAACUUUAUACGGACGAUCAUAAACAAAUCCGAGAUUCUUUAAACAAGUUCAUUGAGAAAGAAAUAAACCCUUAUGUUGAUGAAUGGGAGAAGGCAGAGUUUUUCCCUGCUCAUGAGCUGUUCAAGAAACUUGGUGACCAAGGUUUUCUAGGAGUCAACAAACCAACAGAAUAUGGUGGACUUGGUCUUGAUUUCUCCUACUCAAUGGCUGUGGCUGAAGAACUUGGAAACAUCAACUGUGGUUCCAUUCCAAUGGCUAUUGGUGUACAAACCGACAUGAGUACUCCUGCUCUUGCCAAAUUUGGCAGUAAUAAACUGAAGGAAACGUUCUUGGCUCCAACUAUAGCUGGAGACUAUGUGGCUUGUAUUGGGGUCAGUGAAGUGGGAGCUGGAUCAGAUGUUGCUAGUAUUCAAACAAAGGCUGUAACAAAAGGAGAUGACCUUAUAAUCAAUGGUCAGAAGAUGUGGAUAACAAAUGGUUGCCAAGCAGACUGGAUGUGUUUGCUAGCCAAUACAUCUGGUGGACCUUCUCACAAGAACAAGAGUCUCAUCUGUAUGCCAAUGAAUUUACCAGGCGUUCAUGUGACCAAAAAAAUCAGCAAAAUUGGAAUGAAGUCUUCAGAUACAGGUCAGAUCUUCAUGGAAGAUGUCAGGGUUCCCAAGAGCUACAUUAUUGGAGAGGAAGGCAAAGGAUUCUUGUAUCAGAUGUUACAAUUCCAGGAAGAGAGGAUGUGGGGUGCUGCAGGAAUGAUUAAGCCUCUGGAGAAAAUAAUUGAACAAACUAUUGAGUAUACAGCUGGUCGGAAAAUCUUUGAUAAGUCUGUUCUUGACCACCAAGUGGUACACUUCAGACUUGCUGAGCUGGCGACAGAGAUGGAAUUGUACAAAGCACUCUUUCAUAAAUGUGUUGGGUUGUACAUAGCUGGAAAUGACGUUACCAAGUAUGCUUCAAUGUGCAAGCUAAAAGGAGGUCGUCUCGCUCGUGAGGUAUCUGACUCCUGCUUACAGUACUGGGGUGGCAUGGGCUUCACAGACGAAGUGUUUGUAAGCCGUUGCUAUAGAGACUUCCGCUUACUUUCCAUCGGAGCUGGCGCUGAUGAAGUGAUGCUGUCAAUCAUUUGUAAAUACAUGAAUAUCCUACCGAAGUCGAAGUGAACACUUAACCCCUGGUUUUCGUUGGUGUCUUGAGUUUGUGUUUGUGUGUCAGUUUGCAGUGUUUGGGUGGGUGGGGGGGCUACGUCUGUUUCUGUGUAUAUGUGUGUGUGUGAGCGUGGGUGGGUGUAUGGGGGUGAGAGAUAGUGCUAUGGAAAGAGUAGGAGAGAAAGAGAGACGGUGAUAGAUAGGGAAUAGAGAGAGAGAGAGAGAGAGGGAGAGAGAGAGAGAGAGAGAGAAAGAGAGAAAGAGAGAAAGAAAGAAUAGUCUGUCGGUUUUACUCAUCUUCCAAAUUCAACCCACCACGAAGAUCGAUAUGACCAAUGUCUGAUUGACUGACUCUUUGGAGCUUUUCAUUAAUGUAUUAAUUUGAACUGUUCAUUGAUUGAUUGGUUGACUGGCCUGAUCGAUUGACCGACUGUUCGAUCUGUCCGCUUAAUCAAUGUCACACGGAAGACAAAUGGACGAUAAAUACAACAGAAUUUGAUUGCUAAAUAUUUUAUAAACGAAAUGGAAUAAAUAUAUUUUUGUUUUUGCUGUU
Molecule: unclassified non-coding RNA, 1880 nt
Filed under: Octopus sinensis (East Asian common octopus)
Lineage: Eukaryota; Metazoa; Mollusca; Cephalopoda; Octopoda; Octopodidae
Description: probable acyl-CoA dehydrogenase 6, transcript variant X1
Source: RNAcentral